RNAcentral lists this ribosomal RNA (849 nucleotides) under uncultured bacterium. RNAcentral describes it as "bacterial SSU rRNA". It matches the Rfam family "Bacterial small subunit ribosomal RNA", at positions 556 to 1398 of the family's 1533-position model. The record is from RNAcentral.
GGGCGUUAAGCGUGCGCAGGCGGUUCCGGAAAGAAAGAUGUGAAAUUCCCAGAAGCUUAACUUUGGAACUGCAUUUUUAACUACCGGGCUAGAGUGUGUCAGAGGGAGGUGGAAUUCCGCGUGUAGCAGUGAAAUGCGUAGAUAUGCGGAGGAACACCGAUGGCGAAGGCAGCCUCCUGGGAUAACACUGACGCUCAUGCACGAAAGCGUGGGGAGCAAACAGGAUUAGAUACCCUGGUAGUCCACGCCCUAAACGAUGUCAACUAGCUGUUGGGGCCUUCGGGCCUUAGUAGCGCAGCUAACGCGUGAAGUUGACCGCCUGGGGAGUACGGUCGCAAGAUUAAAACUCAAAGGAAUUGACGGGGACCCGCACAAGCGGUGGAUGAUGUGGAUUAAUUCGAUGCAACGCGAAAAACCUUUACCUACCCUUUGACAUGUCUGGAAUUUCCGAAGAGAUUUGGAAGUGCUCGCAAGAAAACCGGAAACACAGGUGCUGCAUGGCUGUCGUCAGCUCCGUGUCGUGAGAUGUUGGGUUAAGUCCCCGCAACGAGCGCAACCCCUUGUCAUUAGUUGCUACGAAAGGGCACUCUAAUGAGACUGCCCGGUGACAAACCGGAGGAAGGUGGGGAUGACGUCAAGUCCUCAUGGGCCCUUAUGGGUAGGGCUUCACACGUCAUACAAUGGUCGGGACAGAGGGUCGCCAACCCGCGAGGGGGAGCCAAUCCUCAGAAACCCGAUCGUAGUCCGGAUCGCAGUCUGCACUCGACUGCGUGAAGUCGAAUCGCUAGUAAUCGCGGAUCAGCAUGUCGCGGUGAUACGUUCUCCGGGUCUUGUACUCACCCGCCCGUC